ACCCGCUCGCCCCUCUACGCCGCCACGUCGUCGGUGAGGGGAUAAGGCCGCCCCUCUUCCCUGGAACCCUAGCUACCUCCCCAGAUCUGCUUGCUCGCCCCCCUCGCUCCUCUCCUGCACCCCCACGCUCUUCCCUUCCUUCCCCAGAUCCGCCGUCGAGCGCCACCAUCGCCAUGGCUCCGGCGUAGCCGCGCCUACCGUCAUCCCCGCGUCUCGCCUCCCUGUCCAUUCGCCUCGCGGGCGUCUUCUUCACCGUCUACGCCAAGCGCCUGGAGCCGGGGAGCACGGCAGCGCUCGCUCCACCGUCGGACGCACCGGAGCUCACCGUCGAUCCACGCCGCCCCGAGAACCUCGAGUCAUCCCCGGGCCUCCUCUGCAACGCCACGCUGUGACGGCUGUCGAUGCCAUUGUGAUCGACUACGUCGACGACGACCCCUCCUUCUCGCCUGAGCAACCAGAUGGUGGAUCCUUGGAGCCAGAUGCUACCAUCGACGGAUACUACUACAUGGAGGCCACGGAAGACCAGGGGUAGUUAGGAGGUCCUGGGCAGGAGGCCUUGCCUCUUCGAUCGUGUUGCUUUUGUGCUAGCCUUCUUAAGGCAUCCUUGUUUAAUUUAUGUCUGUUCUCAGAUAUUGUUGCUUCCGCUGACUCUUGUGUAUCGAGCUAUGUAUUCGAGCCCUCGAGGCACCUGGCUUGUAAUAUAAAGCUUGUAUUAUUUUAUUUGUGUCUAGAGUUGUGUUGUGAUAUCUUCCAGUGAGUCCCUGAUUUUGAU
This 772-nucleotide ribosomal RNA is filed under the name Triticum aestivum (bread wheat). Its description in RNAcentral is "partial small subunit ribosomal RNA". Lineage: Eukaryota; Viridiplantae; Streptophyta; Magnoliopsida; Poales; Poaceae. The record is from RNAcentral.